AUUGAACGCUGGCGGCAUGCCUUACACAUGCAAGUCGAACGGUAACAGGUCUUCGGAUGCUGACGAGUGGCGAACGGGCGAGUAAUACAUCGGAACGUGCCUAGUAGUGGGGGAUAACUACUCGAAAGAGUGGCUAAUACCGCAUGAGAUCUACGGAUGAAAGCAGGGGAUCGCAAGACCUUGUGCUACUAGAGCGGCCGAUGGCAGAUUAGGUAGUUGGUGGGAUAAAAGCUUACCAAGCCGACGAUCUGUAGCUGGUCUGAGAGGACGAUCAGCCACACUGGGACUGAGACACGGCCCAGACCCCUACGGGAGGCAGCAGUGGGGAAUUUUGGACAAUGGGCGAAAGCCUGAUCCAGCAAUGCCGCGUGCAGGAUGAAGGCCUUCGGGUUGUAAACUGCUUUUGUACGGAACGAAAAGCCCCGGGUUAAUACCCUGGGGUCAUGACGGUACCGUAAGAAUAAGCACCGGCUAACUACGUGCCAGCCGCCGCGGUAA
Molecule: ribosomal RNA, 498 nt
Filed under: uncultured bacterium
Lineage: Bacteria
Description: partial 16S ribosomal RNA
Rfam family: Bacterial small subunit ribosomal RNA
Source: RNAcentral